RNAcentral lists this ribosomal RNA (253 nucleotides) under uncultured bacterium. Its description in RNAcentral is "partial 16S ribosomal RNA". It matches the Rfam family "Bacterial small subunit ribosomal RNA", at positions 524 to 776 of the family's 1533-position model. The record is from RNAcentral.
UACAGAGGUCUCAAGCGUUGUUCGGAUUCAUUGGGCGUAAAGGGUGCGUAGGCGGCGGGGUAAGUCAGGUGUGAAAUCUCGAGGCUCAACCUCGAAACUGCACUUGAUACUGCCUUGCUAGAGUACUGGAGAGGAGAUUGGAAUUUACGGUGUAGCAGUGAAAUGCGUAGAUAUCGUAAGGAAGACCAGUGGCGAAGGCGAAUCUCUGGACAGUUACUGACACUGAGGCACGAAGGCCAGGGGAGCAAACGGG